RNAcentral lists this long non-coding RNA (995 nucleotides) under Echeneis naucrates (live sharksucker). Its description in RNAcentral is "lncRNA (ENSENLG00000021172.1)". The record is from RNAcentral. Lineage: Eukaryota; Metazoa; Chordata; Actinopteri; Carangiformes; Echeneidae.
UUUUUUCCCUCUCUGUGGUUCAAUACAGUUCUGUACAGUCUCAGUUUAGAUGUUAUUGUGUAUGUGUUAUUUUAUUAGCUCGAAGCUCCAACAGGCCUCCUCUCCAGAACAGGAGGAAGGCAUUAUCCCGGACUCACCAGUGCUUCCGAGCUCGCUACCAGUGGUGAACAGGCUGAAGAAAUGCAAAAAUGUGAACAAACAGAAGCAGGUUCGUUAUGCAGAAUUGCCUUUACCACAGCGCAACACAUCACUCUUAAAAGAGUUGAGUGAGGAGCCUUUUGAUUCCUCAAAGAAUCCUGGGGGAGCAAAAGUGCUUGUACCUGGCACAUGUGAACUGGAUACAUCCCAAAUCUCAGAUGUGAACGAUGAUUUGGACGAGGUGAUUGCAGAAACAUGUGUCCUUGAACUUCUUGUUGACAAGCCUCACAUGGUAGGCAGGUUUUAUAUAGACACAGUGUGGUAAAUAAUAUAAAACACAUCACAAUUUUGAAACUUUUUUUUCCUCUCCUCAGAAAACUAAAGCAAAUGCAGAGCACCAAAGCAGCUCAAAUCCUCCAUGGAAGAGCAAUGUUAAUAUGAAUCCAGACUCAACCGCCGAAAGAUCUUUGUCUCUUCUGCCCCGAGUCAAGAGGUUUUCUGAAGAUUGCGCCAUUAACAAAGCAAAACGGAAGAAAGAGGAAAGUGACAACAGCCAACAGAUGGAGGAGCGCAUGGAGGAGCACACACAGGAGGAAGAUAGACAAGUGGUCAAACAGACUAGCAUUAAACAGCUCCUGCCUAAAAAGGUUCAAUCAGAUCAGAAUGGGACUUUGAGCCAAUGGCUGCCCACUUUCAAGAUGCCAAAUCGGAAGGUUAAAAAGGAAGAGGAGGAUGUGAAGGAAAAAGAACCCAUGAGGGAUCUGAACACUUCACAUGGUCAACAUGACUCAGGAGAUGGUGAGUGUUUUGAUUGUAGACUAAAUGUUGAACAAUUUAAGGCAUUAAGAAUUUCCAGU